CACGCCGUAAACGAUGCUAACUCGUUUUUGGGGCGCAAGCUUCAGAGACCAAGCGAAAGUGAUAAGUUAGCCACCUGGGGAGUACGUUCGCAAGAAUGAAACUCAAAGGAAUUGACGGGGGCCCGCACAAGCGGUGGAUUAUGUGGUUUAAUUCGAUGAUACGCGAGGAACCUUACCAAGGCUUAAAUGGGAAAUGACAGAUUUAGAAAUAGAUCCUUCUUCGGACAUUUUUCAAGGUGC
RNAcentral lists this ribosomal RNA (240 nucleotides) under uncultured bacterium. RNAcentral describes it as "partial 16S ribosomal RNA". It matches the Rfam family "Bacterial small subunit ribosomal RNA", at positions 796 to 1041 of the family's 1533-position model. The record is from RNAcentral. RNAcentral also lists the same sequence under 1 other name.